CAGUCGCCACGGUAAUACGUAGGGUGCAAGCGUUAAUCGGAAUUACUGGGCGUAAAGCGUGCGCAGGCGGUUUGUUAAGACAGAUGUGAAAUCCCCGGGCUCAACCUGGGAACUGCAUUUGUGACUGGCAGGCUAGAGUAUGGCAGAGGGGGGUGGAAUUCCGCGUGUAGCAGUGAAAUGCGUAGAUAUGCGGAGGAACACCGAUGGCGAAGGCAGCCCCCUGGGCCAAUACUGACGCUCAUGCACGAAAGCGUGGGGAGCAAACAGGAUUAGAUACCCGCGUAGUCCCUGUCUCUUAUAC
Molecule: ribosomal RNA, 301 nt
Filed under: uncultured bacterium
Lineage: Bacteria
Description: partial 16S ribosomal RNA
Rfam family: Bacterial small subunit ribosomal RNA
Source: RNAcentral